GAGCCUUGGUGAAACUGAGAGUUCAGGAUCAAUAUCUUCGCAUUCUGAGAGAUUCUCUGAUGACCAAGUAGGUGGCUAUGAUACAAGAACCCCACCCCAACCCCCACAAUUAGGAUUUUAACAUUGGUUUUUAGCUGUAGUGUUGUUCUAGACGAGUCUAUACAAGCUUUUAACUUUUCAAUGAAAUUUUGAGGGAUUGAUGAAUAUGACAUCUAUCUAUUCCUUCCUUACCAUUUCAAUAGUUUGGUUAUUAGACUCCCUUCGAAAUUUCUCACUAGUUAUCCACAAUUUAUUCAAAAAGAAGUAUUUCAAUUAGGAAGAGAGUUUAUUGCAGAUAACUCUCAAGACAUUUCUUCAUUGGCUAUCCUUAAGUUGAUCUCUUUUCAAAAUAAGUUGAUCUAUACAUGUGAUAAAAUUUACUAUUUCAAGCCUUAUUGUAGGCAUCAUAGGGGUUUGAAGCACAGCCUUUCAAAUUGUAGUUUGAUGUCUACACUUGUUUAAGCAAAUGGCAUACUUGAACAUUGUUGUGAACGGUAAUCUCAAAACUUUAAUUGUAUUAAAAUCUGAAGAAAACUGAGCUUGGAUUAGAGACACAGAUUUGAUGUAAUAUGAUAGAUACUUGGAGUAGGCAUCAGAUACUAUGACUCACGAAUUUGUUAUAUCUUUGUCUUUAAGAACUAAGGCUGAGCUCUUCUUGAUGGCAAGCUUGGAUUUCUUUGUGAUGCAGUUAGAAAUCCAGCUGUAGGUCUCAUAAAAAAAGGCAUGCAUUGGCAAUUCCUUCACUGCAUGGUUGACAAGUUUUGUAUCCAGAUAAUGAGGCAAUUAAACUAAGAAAAAAGCUAUAAUAUAUUCUAAGUUAUUUUGAAGGGUUAAAGCAGUGAAAACUCUCCUUGAAAGGUGUAUUUGUAAAGGGAACUAGAGAGAAUCAAAAUUCCUUUGAAGAAGUCACCUUGGUCAUAUGAAAUACUUAUAUGGACAUUGGGAUAUUAAAUUGUCAAAGGGAUCAUCCUUGGUUGGGCAUACAUAUGAUUAGCAGAAAACUGACUACGCUACUUCCUGUGUUUCUUCAUCAAUUGUAGUGAUGUUUGUUUUCAUGCUUCAUUAAGGACAAAUAUGGUUUAGUUAGUUUGCUCCUGUUUAGGAUGACAUUGGUUUUUUCUUGUUAAUUGCCAAUAUUGGCUCUGUUUGUGUUGAUUUCA
RNAcentral lists this unclassified non-coding RNA (1199 nucleotides) under Hevea brasiliensis (rubber tree). The record is from RNAcentral. Lineage: Eukaryota; Viridiplantae; Streptophyta; Magnoliopsida; Malpighiales; Euphorbiaceae.